Molecule: long non-coding RNA, 249 nt
Filed under: Elaeis guineensis (African oil palm)
Lineage: Eukaryota; Viridiplantae; Streptophyta; Magnoliopsida; Arecales; Arecaceae
Description: long non-coding RNA (EGUI_LNC044427)
Source: RNAcentral
CAUAUGGCAAGCUUUGACUGAUUGAUUAAAGACUUCAUGGUAUACUUUGGUUGAUCAAUCUACUAUAUCGGUUAUGGUCAAUUUCGAGAAGUAUCCCCUAUCAUUUUUAUUUCAAUCUAUUUUAUUGCAAAUUAACAAACAAGAUGAUUAUGUCCUUACAUUUGAGCAUAUUAUAAUAGUGGACUUGCCAUGAGGCAUGGUGAUGCAUAUUAGAAAAAUAAUCAUGCAGUGUUUAGGAGCAGGGAGGGA